GUGCCAGCAGCCGCGGUAAUACCGGCAGCCCGAGUGAUGACCGAUCUUAUUGGGCCUAAAGCGUCCGUAGCCGGCCGGACAAGUCCGUUGGGAAAUCGACGCGCCUAACGCGUCGGCGUCCAGCGGAAACUGUCCGGCUUGGGGCCGGAAGAUCCGAGGGGUACGUCCGGGGUAGGAGUGAGAUCCCGUAAUCCUGGACGGACCGCCGGUGGCGAAAGCGCCUCGGAAGGACGGACCCGACGGUGAGGGACGAAAGCUGGGGUCUCGAACCGGAUUAGAAACCCCAGUAGUCC
Molecule: ribosomal RNA, 293 nt
Filed under: uncultured bacterium
Lineage: Bacteria
Description: partial 16S ribosomal RNA
Rfam family: Archaeal small subunit ribosomal RNA
Source: RNAcentral